AAAGCGAGGCGGAGAGGAUCCGGCAGUUGGGUUCUGCGACAGAGGCCUGCUGGGAUCUCACGAGAGGCGGAGAGCGAACCUCAGGCCUAAAACCUUUCUCGCGACGAGAAAAGACCCUCCCGACAACAGCAGGAUGUGGGGACUCGGAGCCACAGGGAAAUGCGCUCUGAGAAUAACUUCGGGAGGGGCGAGGAUGGGCUGGCCUCCCGAGGGCUGCGGCCGCCCCUGGAGCAGAGGACGCAACCACGAGGGCCUUUGGGCGGUGACAGCCCUUCGGCGGGAAGACAAGGAGCCUCCUAGUGGAGCCGCGGGGCGCUCCCGACCCCACUGCGGCGCGAGGGCUGUGACUGGGCUGUUCCAGUUUCAGGAUCCCUUUGAAGCUCCAAACUCCAGGCCUCCUACCGCCUACUCAGUCAUCACGGGAUAAAGUGCGGUCCGGGUGGGAGUCUUUCGGUGAGCAGAAGUGAAAGGCCGCAGAGAAGAGUACGGGCUUCCCGAGACCCUCAAGGGUAACUUGGUGACGCACGGGCAGAUGUCGAUGGCCUUGAAGAUUUGGGGGAAAUGACCAAUGUGCAAAUCAGCUUAAAAUCCAGAAAGAAGGGAGCUUUAAAGGAAAAUAGUCACUCUCGCUACCCCUGUCCAGGAAGAAGAGUGCUGAUCUGCAGCUUCCAUUCCGCUAGACUGGAGAGUGGGGGCUGCCUGAUCCAAGCCCAGCCAGUGUCUGUCUCCCCAAGCAUUCCUGGAUUGGUAUGAUUCCCGACUACGUUUUUUA
Long non-coding RNA from Enhydra lutris kenyoni (northern sea otter), 772 nucleotides. RefSeq lists it as uncharacterized. The record is from RefSeq and is a predicted model, not a curated record. The transcript has a single exon. NCBI's taxonomy places the organism in Eukaryota, Metazoa, Chordata, Mammalia, Carnivora, Mustelidae.